Molecule: ribosomal RNA, 2532 nt
Filed under: human metagenome
Description: bacterial LSU rRNA
Rfam family: Bacterial large subunit ribosomal RNA
Source: RNAcentral
AGAGCAUAGGGAGGAUGCCUAGGCACCAAGCGCCGAAGAAGGACGUGGCAGGCUGCGAAAAGCUGCGUGGAGCUGCGAGCGAGCUGAGAAGCGCAGAUAUCCGAAUGAGGGAACUCACAUGCUGGGAGAGCAUGUACGUAUGCAUGAAAAGAUAGUGCAUACGGGGGAACCCGGUGAACUGAAACAUCUAAGUAACCGGAGGAAAAGAAAGUAAGAACGAUCUUCUGAGUAGCGGCGAGCGAAAGGGAGGGAGCCCAAACCAUUGAUUUACGGAUUGAUGGGGUUACGGACAGUCAGGAUUUCAGGACAUGAUAGCCGAACGGUUUUGGGAAAGCCGGCCGAAGGAGGUAAAAGCCCCGUAGGUAAAAUCAUGGAGAGGAAGGACUGGAUCCAGAGUACCGCAGGACACGAGGAAUCCGGCGGGAAGUCGGGGGGACCACCCCCCAAGGCUAAAUACGACUUGGUGAGCGAUAGCGAAUAGUACCGUGAGGGAAAGGUGAAAAGCACCCCGGGAGGGGAGUGAAAGAGAACCUGAAACCCUAUGUUUACAAGCACAGGGAGCACGUUAAGGGUGCGACCUGGUACUUUUUGUAGAACGGACCGGCGAGUUACGUUAUGAUGCGAGGUUAAGGUAUAGAGUACCGGAGCCGAAGCGAAAGCGAGUCUGAACAGGGCGAAAGAGUAUCAUGAUGUAGACCCGAAACCGUGUGACCUAUCCAUGGACAGGUUGAAGUGGGAGUAAAAUCUCAUGGAGGACCGAACCACACUGCCGUUGAAAAGGUAGGGGAUGAGCUGUGGAUAGCGGGGAAAUUCCAAACGAACACGGAUAUAGCUGGUUCUCCUCGAAAUAGCUUUAGGGCUAGCCUCGGGGUAAGAGUGACGGAGGUAGAGCACUGAAUGGGCUAGGGGGCCACAAAGCUUACUGAACCUUAUCAAACUGCGAAUGCCGUACACUUAGUACCCGGGAGUCAGACUGUGUGAGAUAAGUCUCACGGUCAAAAGGGAAACAGCCCAGACCAACAGCUAAGGUCCCAAAGUACAGGUUAAGUGGAGAAGGAUGUGCCAUUGCGCAGACAACCAGGAUGUUGGCUUAGAAGCAGCCACACAUUAAAAGAGUGCGUAAUAGCUCACUGGUCGAGUGGUGGUGCGCCGAAGAUGGACGGGGCUCAAACCUGACACCGAAGCUUUGGAUUUAUGGAGACAUAAGUGGUAGAGGAGCGAUGUAUGCGGGAGGAAGGAUGACCGGAAGGACAUUUGGACUGCAUAGAAGAGAGAAUGCCGGUAUAAGUAGCGAGAGUGAGGUGAGAAUCCUCACCGUCGAAAGCCAAAGGAUUCCUGAGGAAGGUUCGUCCCCUCAGGGUAAGUCGGGACCUAAGCCGAGGGCGGUAGAGCCGUAGGCGAUGGACAACUGGUAGAUAUUCCAGUACCGUCUUAGAUACGCCUGGAGGAAGCAGUGACACAGAAGGAUAGUCAGAGCGCGUUGAUGGUAGAGCGCGUCCAAGCAGAGAGGCUGGUAUAUAGUAAAGAACGUAUACUAAGGCUGGUCUGUGACGGGGAGUGAACUAAGUAACGAAGCUGAUGAAUUCACGCUGGCGAGAAAAGCUGCUAACGAGUAUGUAAGACGCCCGUACCGCAAACCGACACAGGUAGGCGAGGAGAGAAUCCUAAGACGAACGAGAGAACCCUUGUUAAGGAACUCGGCAAAAUGACCCCGUAACUUCGGGAGAAGGGGUGCCUGCUGAGAGGCAGGCCGCAGAGAAGAGGCCCAAGCGACUGUUUAACAAAAACACAGGUCUGUGCGAAAUCGAGAGAUGACGUAUACGGGCUGACGCCUGCCCGGUGCUGGAAGGUUAAGGGGAAGAGUUAGGUGAGAGCCGAAGCUUAGAACCGAAGCCCCAGUAAACGGCGGCCGUAACUAUAACGGUCCUAAGGUAGCGAAAUUCCUUGUCGGGUAAGUUCCGACCUGCACGAAUGGCGUAACGACUUGGGCGCUGUCUCAACAGGGGACUCGGCGAAAUUGUAGUAUGUGUGAAGAUGCACAUUACCCGCGACUGGACGGAAAGACCCCGUAGAGCUUUACUGUAGCCUGAUAUUGGAUUCUGGUAAUGGAUGUACAGGAUAGGUGGGAGGCUAGGAAGUCAGGGCGUCAGCCUUGGCGGAGCCGAUGUUGGGAUACCACUCUUUCAUUAUUGGAAUUCUAACCCGCGACCGUAGAGCCGGAGCGGAGACAGUGUCAGGUGGGCAGUUUGACUGGGGCGGUCGCCUCCGAAAGAGUAACGGAGGCGCCCAAAGGUUUCCUCAGAAUGGUUGGGAAUCAUUCAAAGAGUGCAAAGGCAGAAGGGAGCCUGACUGCGAGAGAGACAUUUCGAGCAGAUACGAAAGUAGGGCUUAGUGAUCCGGUGGUAGAGAGUGGAAUCGCCAUCGCUUAACGGAUAAAAGUUACCUCGGGGAUAACAGGCUGAUCUCCCCCAAGAGUUCACAUCGACGGGGAGGUUUGGCACCUCGAUGUCGGCUCGUCGCAUCCUGGGGCUG